Sinocyclocheilus rhinocerous is the source of this 332-nucleotide long non-coding RNA. RefSeq lists it as uncharacterized. The record is from RefSeq and is a predicted model, not a curated record. The transcript has 3 exons. NCBI's taxonomy places the organism in Eukaryota, Metazoa, Chordata, Actinopteri, Cypriniformes, Cyprinidae.
AUUGAAGAAAUGUUUUGUUAGUUUUAGCUCUAAACCCUGCUGUCUGUUUUGUCACGCCAGAUGUUUGUGCUCAGCUGUCCAGGAUCUCUCUGACCUUGAGGAAUGUGCGUGCUGAUGAAGAGACAGGAAGUGAUGUCAUCACACUGAACCGGGAUUCACCUGACUCGGCACACGCUGCUGUCGCCAAUCUGAUCUUACAAAGCUUCUGUCUGUGUUUACUGGAUGCGUCCAAAGUAAAGCCUCCUAACAGACAGGGCUCAUGGCCGAGUGUGUUUGUGAAGGCUCUGCUGGCUCACAGAGGGCUCGUCUCAGCUUUGAUACACAGACUGUGG